RNAcentral lists this ribosomal RNA (724 nucleotides) under Bacillus sp. CH450. RNAcentral describes it as "bacterial SSU rRNA". It matches the Rfam family "Bacterial small subunit ribosomal RNA", at positions 94 to 804 of the family's 1533-position model. The record is from RNAcentral. Lineage: Bacteria; Bacillati; Bacillota; Bacilli; Caryophanales; Bacillaceae.
AGCGGCGGACGGGUGAGUAACACGUGGGCAACCUGCCUGUAAGACUGGGAUAACUCCGGGAAACCGGAGCUAAUACCGGAUAUUAUUUCAAACCGCAUGGUUUGACAUUCAAAGACGGUUUCGGCUGUCACUUACAGAUGGGCCCGCGGCGCAUUAGCUAGUUGGUGAGGUAAUGGCUCACCAAGGCAACGAUGCGUAGCCGACCUGAGAGGGUGAUCGGCCACACUGGGACUGAGACACGGCCCAGACUCCUACGGGAGGCAGCAGUAGGGAAUCUUCCGCAAUGGACGAAAGUCUGACGGAGCAACGCCGCGUGAGUGAUGAAGGUUUUCGGAUCGUAAAACUCUGUUGUCAGGGAAGAACAAGUGCCGGAGUAACUGCCGGCGCCUUGACGGUACCUGACCAGAAAGCCACGGCUAACUACGUGCCAGCAGCCGCGGUAAUACGUAGGUGGCAAGCGUUGUCCGGAAUUAUUGGGCGUAAAGCGCGCGCAGGCGGUUUCUUAAGUCUGAUGUGAAAGCCCCCGGCUCAACCGGGGAGGGUCAUUGGAAACUGGGAAACUUGAGUGCAGAAGAGGAGAGUGGAAUUCCACGUGUAGCGGUGAAAUGCGUAGAGAUGUGGAGGAACACCAGUGGCGAAGGCGACUCUCUGGUCUGUAACUGACGCUGAGGCGCGAAAGCGUGGGGAGCGAACAGGAUUAGAUACCCUGGUAGUCCACGCCGUA